Molecule: ribosomal RNA, 468 nt
Filed under: uncultured bacterium
Lineage: Bacteria
Description: partial 16S ribosomal RNA
Rfam family: Bacterial small subunit ribosomal RNA
Source: RNAcentral
GACGAACGCUGGCGGCGUGCUUAACACAUGCAAGUCGAACGGAAAGGCCCUGCUUUUGUGGGGUGCUCGAUUGGCGAACGGGGGAGUAACACGUGAGUAACCUGCCCUUGACUUUGGGAUAACUUCAGGAAACUGGGGCUAAUACCGGAUAGGAGCUCCUGCUGCAUGGGGGGGGUUGGAAAGUUUCGGCGGUUGGGGAUGGUCUCGCGGCUUAUCCGCUUGUUGGUGGGGUAGUGGCUUACCAAGGCUUUGACGGGUAGCCGGCCUGAGAGGGUGACCGGCCACAUUGGGACUGAGAUACGGCCCAGACUCCUACGGGAGGCAGCAGUGGGGAAUAUUGCACAAUGGGCGGAAGCCUGAUGCAGCAACGCCGCGUGCGGGAUGACGGCCUUCGGGUUGUAAACCGCUUUCGCCUGUGACGAAGCGUGAGUGACGGUAAUGGGUAAAGAAGCACCGGCUAACUACGUG